GACGAACGCUGGCGGCGUGCCUAAUACAUGCAAGUCGAACGAGAGCGACUGGUGCUUGCACUGGUCAAUCUAGUGGCGAACGGGUGAGUAACACGUGGGUAACCUGCCCAUCAGAGGGGGAUAACAUCCGGAAACGGAUGCUAAAACCGCAUAGGUCUUCGAGCCGCAUGGCUUGAAGAGGAAAAGAGGCGCAAGCUUCUGCUGAUGGAUGGACCCGCGGUGCAUUAGCUAGUUGGUGAGGUAACGGCUCACCAAGGCCGUGAUGCAUAGCCGGCCUGAGAGGGUGGUCGGCCACAUUGGGACUGAGACACGGCCCAAACUCCUACGGGAGGCAGCAGUAGGGAAUCUUCCGCAAUGGACGCAAGUCUGACGGAGCAACGCCGCGUGAGUGAAGAAGGUUUUCGGAUCGUAAAACUCUGUUGUUAGAGAAGAACAAGUGCUAGAGUAACUGUUAGCGCCUUGACGGUAUCUAACCAGAAAGCCACGGCUAACUACGUGCCAGCCGCCGCGGUAA
This 514-nucleotide ribosomal RNA is filed under the name uncultured bacterium. Its description in RNAcentral is "partial 16S ribosomal RNA". It matches the Rfam family "Bacterial small subunit ribosomal RNA", at positions 28 to 523 of the family's 1533-position model. The record is from RNAcentral.